CCUACGGGAGGCAGCAGUGAGGAAUAUUGGUCAAUGGGCGCGAGCCUGAACCAGCCAAGUCGCGUGAAGGAUGACUGCCCUAUGGGUUGUAAACCUCUUUUAUAAGGGAAUAAUGUGUGCUACGUGUGCCAUUUUGCAUGUAUUUUAUGAAUAAGGAUCGGCUAACUCCGUGCCAGCAGCCGCGGUAAUACGGAGGAUCCGAGCGUUAUCCGGAUUUAUUGGGUUUAAAGGGUGCGUAGAGGGGUUGUUAAGUUAGUUGUGAAAGUUUGGGGCUCAACCGUAAAAUUGCAAUUGAUACUGGCAGCCUUGAGUACAGAUGAGGUAGGCGGAAUAAGUGAUGUAGCGGUGAAAUGCUUAGAUAUAACGAAGAACUCCGAUAGCGAAGGCAGCCUACUAGACUGUCACUGACAUUGAUGCACGAGAGCGUGGGUAGCGAACAGGAUUAGAUACCCUUGUAGUC
Molecule: ribosomal RNA, 460 nt
Filed under: uncultured bacterium
Lineage: Bacteria
Description: partial 16S ribosomal RNA
Rfam family: Bacterial small subunit ribosomal RNA
Source: RNAcentral